This 477-nucleotide ribosomal RNA is filed under the name uncultured bacterium. RNAcentral's name for it is "partial 16S ribosomal RNA". It matches the Rfam family "Bacterial small subunit ribosomal RNA", at positions 28 to 507 of the family's 1533-position model. The record is from RNAcentral.
GAUUAACGCUGGCGGCGUGCAUAACACAUGCAAGUCGAACGAUGAAACUUAAAUGAUUUCUUCGGAAUGAACUUAAGUGGAUUAGUGGCGGACGGGUGAGUAACGCGUGAGUAACCUGCCUUACACAAGGGGAUAGCCGUUGGAAACGACGAAUAAUACCCUAUGAAACUAUCACUUCGCAUGAAGCGAUAGUCAAAGUGUUAGCGGUGUAAGAUGGACUUGCGUCUGAUUAGCUAGUUGGUGAGAAAAAAGCCCACCAAGGCAACGAUCAGUAGCCGGCUUGAGAGAGUGUACGGCCACAUUGGGACUGAGACACGGCCCAGACUCCUACCGGAGGCAGCAGUGGGGAAUUUUGCACAAUGGGGGAAACCCUGAUGCAGCGACGCCGCGUGAUUUAGAAGGCCUUCGGGUUGUAAAAAUCUUUUGUAUAGGAAGAAAAUGACAGUACUAUACGAAUAAGGUCCGGCUAAUUACGUG